CAAGUCACGGGGGCCCGCAAGGGUAACCGGCGAACGGGUGCGUAACACGUGAGCAAUCUGCCGUCCACUGGGGGAUAGCCGGCCCAACGGCCGGGUAAUACCGCAUACGUUCCCUUGCCGGCAUCGGUGAGGGAGGAAACCUCUGGGGGUGGACGAGGAGCUCGCGGCCUAUCAGCUAGUUGGUGGGGUAACGGCCUACCAAGGCAAUGACGGGUAGCUGGUCUGAGAGGAUGGCCAGCCACAUUGGGACUGAGAUACGGCCCAGACUCCUACGGGAGGCAGCAGUGGGGAAUAUUGCGCAAUGGCCGCAAGGCUGACGCAGCGACGCCGCGUGGGGGAUGGAGCAUUUCGGUGUGUAAACCCCUGUUGCCCGGGACGAACCGCUCGUUUCGACGAGUCUGACGGUACCGGGUGAGGAAGCACCGGCUAACUCCGUGCCAGCAGCCGCGGUAAUACGGAGGGUGCGAGCGUUGUCCGGAAUCACUGGGCGUAAAGGGCGCGUAGGCGGUCUGCUAAGCGUGUGGUGAAAGCUCGGGGCUCAACCCUGAGUCGGCCAUGCGAACUGGUGGACUGGAGCACUGUAGAGGCAGGUGGAAUUCCGGGUGUAGCGGUGGAAUGCGUAGAGAUCCGGAAGAACACCGGUGGCGAAGGCGGCCUGCUGGGCAGUAGCUGACGCUGAGGCGCGACAGCGUGGGGAGCA
This 700-nucleotide ribosomal RNA is filed under the name uncultured bacterium. Its description in RNAcentral is "bacterial SSU rRNA". It matches the Rfam family "Bacterial small subunit ribosomal RNA", at positions 58 to 770 of the family's 1533-position model. The record is from RNAcentral.